Non-coding RNA from Gossypium arboreum, 107 nucleotides. The record is from Rfam. Lineage: Eukaryota; Viridiplantae; Streptophyta; Magnoliopsida; Malvales; Malvaceae.
AGUCCAUGAUAAGGACACCUUUUCAACAAAUUCUUAAAUUUCUCUCAUGUAUCGCAAAGUGUCUCAAUAUCAAAUUGAACAAAAGAAAAGAUAUCAUUUCUCAACUU